RNAcentral lists this ribosomal RNA (494 nucleotides) under uncultured bacterium. Its description in RNAcentral is "partial 16S ribosomal RNA". It matches the Rfam family "Bacterial small subunit ribosomal RNA", at positions 28 to 507 of the family's 1533-position model. The record is from RNAcentral.
GACGAACGCUGGCGGCGUGCUUAACACAUGCAAGUCGAACGGAAAGGCCUGCUUUCCCUUGUGGAUUGCGGGUACUCGAGUGGCGAACGGGUGAGUAACACGUGAGUGAUCUGCCCCCAACUUGGGUAUAAGCCUGGGAAACUGGGUCUAAUUCCCGAUAGGACUGCAGGGUGGUGCCUGUGGUGGAAAACGAUUUUCUAGUGGUUGGGGAUGAGCUCGCGGCCUAUCAGCUUGUUGGUGGGGUAAUGGCCUACCAAGGCGGCGACGGGUAGCCGGCCUGGGGGGGUGGACGGCCACAUUGGGACUGAGAUACGGCCCAGGCUCCUACGGGAGGCAGCAGUGGGGAAGAGUGGACAAUGGGCGGAAGCCUGAUGCAGCGACGCCGCGUGGGGGAUGACGGCCUUCGGGUUGUAAACUCCUUUCGACCGCGAGGAAGCCACCUGGUUGGAAGGGUGGUGACGGUAGUGGUAGAAGAAGCACCGGCUAACUACGUG